Long non-coding RNA from Quercus robur (English oak), 546 nucleotides. RefSeq lists it as uncharacterized. The record is from RefSeq and is a predicted model, not a curated record. The transcript has 3 exons. NCBI's taxonomy places the organism in Eukaryota, Viridiplantae, Streptophyta, Magnoliopsida, Fagales, Fagaceae.
CCACGUACCCCACCCCUAAAGUCGAUUUGACUUAUCUUUAUUUGCUGCAUCUGAAGUCCAGCAACUCACUUUCCUCUUUCUCUACUCCUUUCUCCCCUUUCUUUGUUCUUCUUUCCUCUUCCCUUCUUACACGGCAACAUCUCUCUCGUCCUUUCUUACCAAAAAUUCUAGUUUCUUUAAAGAAGAAAUUAAACAAUUAGCCUUAAGGUUUCAUCUUCAAAGUGUGUCGGUGUUACCAGUAUCCAAGUCAAAACUCCUUCGACUUUAGGCUCUUAGUUCCUCUGCUUUCAGUUAGCAGGUUUUAUUUUGGAGCAGAGGGAGCCUUAGUCGAGUUUGGAAGGAGCUGGUUUUAGUUUUAUAUGUAUAGAUCCUAAACUAUCAUUCUGACGUCUAGCGUUAUAGUUAUUGUGUAUUCUAGGAUCAAAUGAAAGUUGUGUACCUGAAAGUAUUAAAAAAUGUAUUAUGUAAAAGUAUGGAAAUUAGAUGACUGGUGGAUUAUGUUAUAUUUUGAGUAUGGUGUAGAUGCUCUGACUAUCAAGUGAAAAA